AUCACAUCAAGACACAAACUGUUGGGCGACACAGACGUCUCCCUUUCAUCCCUUGGGGACAUGGAACAAUAGACCGACACUCCCCCAAAUCACCCACCCAUUUCAUCCCAAACCCAACACAAUUUGGGUUCUUUCUGAACAAAUAUAUAUCAAGGGUCUUUCAACUAGGGUUUGAAUGGACCCAGCAGCCGUGGAUAGGAUCAUCGAACGGUUGAUCGAAGUUCGAUCGAACAAGCCCGGGAAGUUGGUUCAGCUGUCAGAGGCUGAAAUCAAGCAGCUUUGUGUUGCUUCUCGUGACAUCUUUAUCAAACAACCCAAUUUGCUUGAACUUGAAGCCCCUAUCAAGAUUUGUGGUGAUAUACAUGGACAAUACAGCGAUUUAUUAAGACUUUUCGAAUACGGCGGUUUUCCUCCGCAAGCCAAUUAUCUCUUUCUGGGUGAUUACGUGGACCGAGGCAAGCAAAGUUUAGAAACAAUAUGUCUACUUCUCGCUUACAAAAUUCGGUACCCCGAAAACUUUUUCCUUCUACGAGGAAACCAUGAAUGCGCAUCCAUAAACCGAAUCUACGGAUUUUACGAUGAAUGUAAAAGACGGUUUAACGUAAAGUUAUGGAAAGCUUUUACCGAGUGUUUCAACUGUCUACCCGUUGCCGCUCUUAUCGAUGACAAGAUACUGUGCAUGCAUGGAGGGUUAUCACCCGAUCUAUCGGAUUUGGAUCAAAUCAGAAAUUUGGCCCGGCCCACUGCGAUUCCCGAUACGGGCCUGCUUUGUGAUUUAUUGUGGUCGGAUCCUAGUAAAGAGGUGAAAGGAUGGGGGAUGAAUGAUAGAGGGGUGUCGUUUACUUUUGGGCCCGAUAAGGUGUCGGAGUUUCUAACAAAGCAUGAUCUUGAUCUUGUUUGCCGGGCUCACCAGGUACAAACCAGACAAGGUGACCCCCGGCAAGGGUGACCUCUCCGACGAGUCUCUCCGCAAGUCUCUUCUCUAUAUUACACGCCUUCCGUCACUGGUUUUCUCCGGAAUUCCGGCGACUCCUUUGUGUUAGAACCAGCGAGCUUUUCAGGCUUCACGCUCACAGAGGCUCCCUUGCUUCAGAACCGGCGAGUUCACGUCGACGAACUCCCUUACUUCAGAACCAGGGAGCUCUCAUCGCCCUUGCUUUUCAGAUCUUCGGUAACCGGAGCUUUCCGGCAACGUCACGCGACAUAUAUCCAGGUGCACUCGAUUCAAUAUAUAACUAUACAUAUACCUACUUUACAUAUAUUUUUUUUCUGCUCUUUCCGGCAAAGGUAAACACCUCUCUAUCCCGUUUCUGCUCUUUCCGGUCGGAAGUGCCGUACCUAAACCUAAAUCACCGCCUCCAGCCACUUACAAAACAACCAGUCACCGUGACUGUCCCUAAACCUUCACACCCACACUAAAAACACCUAAAAAAAAACCACCACCGGCCUCACCUCCGUUCCCAACAGUCAACCGCCAUCAACAUCUCUCUCUCACUCCCCCCUCCCCUUCUCUCUCUCGGCCAACAGAUUCUUCGGGCUGUGUUGUUUGGAACGUUGUUGCAGGUUCCGAUCUAUUUCCACCGGUGGCUCAAAGGAUUCCGGCAGACUUAACGAGGUUGUGGAGGAUGGUUAUGAAUUCUUUGCAGACAGACAACUUGUUACCAUAUUUUCAGCCCCGAAUUAUUGUGGUGAAUUUGAUAAUGCAGGUGCGAUGAUGAGUGUCGAUGAAAAUUUAAUGUGUUCGUUUCAAAU
Molecule: RNA transcript, 1752 nt
Organism: Helianthus annuus (common sunflower)
Lineage: Eukaryota; Viridiplantae; Streptophyta; Magnoliopsida; Asterales; Asteraceae
Gene name: serine/threonine-protein phosphatase PP1 isozyme 3
Exons: 4
Source: RefSeq, a predicted model, not a curated record